Molecule: non-coding RNA, 102 nt
Organism: Stygiomarasmius scandens
Lineage: Eukaryota; Fungi; Basidiomycota; Agaricomycetes; Agaricales; Campanellaceae
Source: the annotation of a GenBank genome assembly
UCCAUCAUGGUGUAGUGCCUAACAUUAUCGCCUCUCAUGUGGAUGCGUUCCCAAAAGGUUUCACGAGCGCGAUAGCCCAGGGUUCGAUUCCCUGUGAUGGAA